GACGAACGCUGGCGGCGUGCUUAACACAUGCAAGUCGAACGGAAAGGCCCUGCUUUUGUUGGGUUCUCGAUUGGCGAACGGGUGAGUAACACGUGAGUAACCUGCCCUUGUCUGUGGGAUAACUUCAGGAAACUGGGGCUAAUAUCGGGUAUGAGCUCCUGCUGCAUGGUGGUGGUUGGAAAGUGUCGGCGUUUGAGGGUGUACUCGCGGCUUAUCAGCUUGUUGGUGGUGUAGUGGCUUACCAAGGCUUUGACGGGUACCCGGCCUGGGAGGGUGACCCGCCACAUGGGAACUCGGGAGCGACCAGUACUCAUACGGGCGGCAGCGGUGGGAACUAUACGCAAAUGGGCGGAGGCCGGGUAGAUCAACGCCGGGUCGGGAAAAUCGGCCUUGGGGUUGUAACCCGCUUUCACCUGUGUAGAAACGUGGGGACGGGAACUGGGUAAGAAGCACCGGCUAACUACGUG
RNAcentral lists this ribosomal RNA (467 nucleotides) under uncultured bacterium. RNAcentral describes it as "partial 16S ribosomal RNA". It matches the Rfam family "Bacterial small subunit ribosomal RNA", at positions 28 to 507 of the family's 1533-position model. The record is from RNAcentral.